GUCGAGUUGCGCAUGUGCAGCUUGUUUAAUGGAAUCUUGGCGGUCGUCUUCGCCUCUUUUUUAGCUAUUUACGGGGGUUUUUCUAUUGAUGUUCGAAUAUUUUAAUUCGCCGUACGUUGGUCGGUUAAUGUUAGUAACGUAAUUAAUAGAGCACCACGCAAUGGAAAAACGCAUCGAAUUAGAGAAAAGGGGCAAAAACCCGGCGCAGAUCACAGAACUGAAUCUGGACAACUGCAGGAGCACAACUAUAGUGGGACUCACAGACGAGUUCGAGAAUCUCGAGAUCCUCUCUUUGAUCAAUGUCGGUUUGACCUCCCUGAAGGGGUUCCCCAAGCUUCCGAACUUGAAGAAGCUCGAAUUGAGCGACAACAGAUUGACCGGAGGUUUCGACAUUCUGGAAACCAGUCCCAAACUGUCCUACCUUAACUUGAGCGGCAAUAAAGUCAAAGACAUUGAAUCGUUGGAGUUCCUGAAGAUGUUCAAGAACCUGCGGCACCUCGACCUGUUCAAUAACGAGGUGACCAACGUGGAAAACUACCGGGAGAAGAUCUAUAAGAUGAUUCCCAACUUGAAAUAUUUGGAUGGGUACGAUGCUGAAGACGAGGAGGAGAGUGAGGUUGAGGAUUGUGAGGAGGUCAAUGGUAACGGGGAGGAGGGCGAUGAUUCUAAUGAGGAUGAAGAGGAACUCUCCUUUGAUGAGGAGGAUGAGUUGGACGAAAGUGUGGGUCUAGGGAUGGUUUACUCGGAACAUAUUGAUGAUCUGUCCGAUGAGGAGGACUACGAGGUUGAGGAAGGGGAGGAGGAGGACGAGGAGAUCGAUGACGAGGAAGAGGAAGAAGAUACUCAGAAUCUCUCCACCUCAAGCGCAAAAGGAAAAAAGAGGAAGCACGAGGACGGAGAGGACGACGAUUAAACAACAAACAACUUCUACUCGCAUCCGUACAUCAAACAACCACAAAUCGGGACGAUCGGCGUCUUUACGUUUUCGGUUUACAAUUGAGCCUUCGGCCCUUUUUUACGGUGCGAUGGCACUUUAUCGUAAGUGGUGCCGCGCCGAUUGCUAAACGAGGUCCAGGUCGUACCGAAGGCUUUAAAAAACCGUUCAUACAACUUCGAAAGGUGCGACAACGAGUCGUCGCGAUAAAAAAUUGCGAGAGUCGAAUGCGACCCUUAAUUGUCCCGGUUUAACGUUUAAAGUUGUAAUAUACAUAAUAUUUAAAAAAAAAAAAAGAACUGAUAUAAUAAUAAUAAUGAUAAUGAUAAUAAUAAAGUCGUGUUUUAAAAAUGUUUAUUUUUAACUUAACGGGGGUAAGGGGCGGUUUUUUUUUUAUACGUCGGCAGGGUCAUAACUAUUUUUCAUAUUGAAAAAUUCGCGCCGGCACUUUUUUGUUUUUUUUCUUGUUAUUAUUAAUGUGGGUGAAGUAAAGAAAUACCUACGUGCGAUUCAUACAAAUCGGUUGAUUAGUAGUGAAGUAAGAAGACAUUUUGCAAAAUGGGCCUUUUUGGAAGUGAUUUUUUGUAAAUUUUUAAAUAAAGUCAUUUCUACUGGACCGAAAUUAUUCGUUCACCCCUUAAAAGUUGCAGAAUGUUCUUCCAAAGCUUUUAAGGGUAAAAUCACACAAAUCCAUUCAUCAGAAGUGAAGUUAUAAGACUUUUUGCAAAAUGGGCCUUUUUAGAAGUGAUGUUUUGUAAAUUUCUGGAUAAAGUCAGUUCUACUGCACCGAAUUAAUUCGUUCACCCCUUAAAAGUUGCAGAAUGUUCUUCCAAAGCUUUUAAGGGUAAAAUCACACAAAUCCAUUCAUCAGAAGUGAAGUUAUAAGACUUUUUGCAAAAUGGGCCUUUUUGCAAGGAAUUUUUUGUAAAUUUCUGGAUAAAGUCAGUUCUACUGCACCGAAUUAAUUCGUUCACCCCUUAAAAGUUGCGGAAUGUUCUUCCAAAGCUUUUAAGGGUAAAAUCACACAAAUCCAUUCAUCAGAAGUGAAGUUAUAAGACAUUUUGCAAAAUGGGCCUUUUUGCAUGGGAUUUUUUGUAAAUUUUUGGAUAAAGUCAGUUCUACUGGACCGAAUUAAUUCGUUCACCCCUUAAAAGUUGCGGAAUGUCCUUCCAAAGCUUUUAAGGGUAAAAUCACACAAAUCCAUGCAUCAGAAGUGAAGUUAUUAAAUAUUUUACAAAAUGGGCCUUUUUGGAAGUGAUUUUUUGUAAAUUUUUGUAUAAAGUCAGUUCUAUUGGUCCGAAUUAAUUCGUUCACCCCUUAAAAGUUGCGGAAUGUUCUUCCAAAGCUUUUAAGGGUAAAAUGACACAAAUCCAUGCAUCAGAAGUGAAGUUAUUAAAUAUUUUACAAAAUGGGCCUUUUUGGAAGGGAUUUUUUGUAAAUUUCUGGAUAAAGUCAGUUCUACUGGACCGAAUUAAUUCGUUCACCCCUUAAAAGUUGCGGAAUGUCCUUCCAAAGCUUUUAAGGGUAAAAUCACACAAAUCCAUUCAUCAGAAAUGAAGUUAUAAGGCAUUUUACAAAAUGGGCCUUUUUGGAAGGGAUUUUUUGUAAAUUUUUGGAUAAAGUCAGUUCUACUGGACCGAAUUAGUUCGUUCACCCCUUAAAAGUUGCGGAAUGUUCUUCCAAAGCUUUUAAGGGUAAAAGCACACAAAUCCAUGCAUCAGAAGUGAAGUUAUAAGGCAUUUUGCAAAAUUAGCCUUUUUUCAAGGGAUUUUUUUGUAAAUUUCCGGAUAAAGUCAUUUCUACUGGACCGAAUUAUUUGAUUCACCCCUUAAAAGUUGCGGAAUGUCCUUCCAAAGCUUUUAAGGGUAAAAUCAACCAAAUCCGUUCAUCAGAAGUGAAGUUAUAAGGCAUUUUACAAAAUGGGCCUUUUUGAAAGGGAUUUUUUGUAAAUUUUUGGAUAAAAUCAGUUCUACUACACCGAAUUAAUUGGUUCACCCCUUAAAAGUUGCGGAACGUUCUUCCAAAGCUUUUAAGGGUAAAAUCACAGAAAUCCAUUCAUGAGAACUGAAGUUAUAAGAGAUUAUACAAAAUUACCCGUAGAAGAAACUUUUUAUUUAAAUUUCUUUUCCAGACAAUCAUCAUACUUAAUUUAACUCGUUGUUCGUUGCAUUUAAUUUAAUUUCGGGUCCCUUUGAUCGUUCUCAUUCAGGGUCAGAGUCUCUCAUUCGGACAACACUAAAUAAUCUGUUAAAUAUUUUAUUUUAGUGAUGAUUUUACCAGUAAUUAAUGCAAUUUCGGGAUUUUAAUAUAAAUUGUCACCCAAUUGGUUUCCUGGAAAUUCGAACCGUAACACCACGACAAAACCCAUUCAGUAAUUAAGAGUGUAAGUAAUAUUUAAAAAACAACAUUUGAACACACAAUCAUAACCUCAAAAAUGACUUAAUAAUUGAGAUUUAAUAAAAUUUAACUGAAGCAUUCCGCUCAACCAAAAUAAGGACGGAAUCCUAUGGCCGCUUUCGGGUAAAUUAAAAGUCAAUGGUGGCCGAGUCGGGACGUCUGGGCGGCCAAUAAAAUUGUCGAAGUUCACUGGACUCUUCUUGGAUGCUAUUGGUCGGCGGUAAACCUUGAUCUAAGCCUUAUAGUCCGGGCGUUUAUGUACUAAAUACUUCACAUAAUUGCCGCUGUAGGAGAUUAAUUAUGUACAUAUCCUGCAGGGUUUUGAGGCACUUUAUUUGUUUAUAAAAUCAAAUCGUUGUUGGAAAGAUCCUUGAGAAACUCUGACUCUUGUAAUAAACAAUAGAAAAAUGCCUUCGAUACGGCCCUGGUUUAGUUUAGUUUAAUUCUGUCAUUUUUCACUAGUUACGUUUGUAAAGUUUAAACUUUUAGCCCUAAAGACGCUCGAAUGUAACAACUUCCUGUUAAUUAAUGUUCUCUCAAUAUUUAAGACUCUUUGUUAAAAUCGUCGACUCGAUCCCAUUUUUCCUUUUCUUUUUUCAUUUUAUUGUUUUGUUUGUAAUUUUAACCGUUAAAUAUUAUUAUAAGUAUUAAAUAUAAAAACAAAAUAACCCACAUAAUAUUAUAUUAAAUUAAAAUUUUAGCACUUAGGUUUUCUUUUUUUCGUUUUUAUAUAGAGCCUAAUGAUUUCCGAAUAAAUUUAAUAUUUUUCUUGAAUUAAAAAAUCGCCUUAUCAAAG
Molecule: unclassified non-coding RNA, 4127 nt
Filed under: Anthonomus grandis grandis
Lineage: Eukaryota; Metazoa; Arthropoda; Insecta; Coleoptera; Curculionidae
Description: acidic leucine-rich nuclear phosphoprotein 32 family member A
Source: RNAcentral